This 253-nucleotide ribosomal RNA is filed under the name uncultured prokaryote. Its description in RNAcentral is "partial 16S ribosomal RNA". It matches the Rfam family "Bacterial small subunit ribosomal RNA", at positions 524 to 776 of the family's 1533-position model. The record is from RNAcentral.
UACAGAGGGUGCAAGCGUUAAUCGGAAUUACUGGGCGUAAAGCGCGCGUAGGUGGUUCGUUAAGUUGGAUGUGAAAUCCCCGGGCUCAACCUGGGAACUGCAUCCAAAACUGGCGAGCUAGAGUAUGGUAGAGGGUGGUGGAAUUUCCUGUGUAGCGGUGAAAUGCGUAGAUAUAGGAAGGAACACCAGUGGCGAAGGCGGCCCCCUGGUUGGAUACUGACGCUGAGACGCGAAAGCGUGGGGAGCAAGCAGG